This 216-nucleotide ribosomal RNA is filed under the name Glomeromycotina sp. RNAcentral's name for it is "partial small subunit ribosomal RNA". The stretch from base 40 to 216 matches the Rfam family "Eukaryotic small subunit ribosomal RNA", at positions 686 to 864 of the family's 1831-position model. The record is from RNAcentral. Lineage: Eukaryota; Fungi; Glomeromycota.
GGGUCAGUAGGUUGGUCGUGCCACCGGUACGUACUGGUCUCACUGAUUCCUCCUUCCUGAAGAGCCGUAAUGCCAUUAAUUUGGUGUUGCGGGGAAACAGGACUGUUACUUUGAAAAAAUUAGAGUGUUUAAAGCAAGAUAACGCUUGAAUACAUUAGCAUGGAAUAAUGAAAUAGGACGAUCGAUCCUAUUUUGUUGGUUUCUAGGAUUGACGUA